Cyanistes caeruleus (blue tit) is the source of this 170-nucleotide non-coding RNA. The record is from RefSeq and is a predicted model, not a curated record. NCBI's taxonomy places the organism in Eukaryota, Metazoa, Chordata, Aves, Passeriformes, Paridae.
UCAGGGGAGCACUGUCCUAAAAUGCAAGACAAGAAAUGCAAGACAUUUUUAACCACUUCAGCUGAGCCACUGGAAACCUCUGCAAAGCUGGAAACAAUAAUGGCUUGAAGAAAAAAUUCAGUUAUGCUUCCAAGGAGCUAAUAUAAAAAAAUUAAAGAGCAAUUAGAAGA